Molecule: ribosomal RNA, 301 nt
Filed under: uncultured bacterium
Lineage: Bacteria
Description: partial 16S ribosomal RNA
Rfam family: Bacterial small subunit ribosomal RNA
Source: RNAcentral
CAGCAGCCACGGGAAUACAGAGGGUGCAAGCGUUAAUCGGAAUUACUGGGCGUAAAGCGCGCGUAGGUGGUUUGUUAAGUUGGAUGUGAAAGCCCCGGGCUCAACCUGGGAACUGCAUCCAAAACUGGCAAGCUAGAGUACGGUAGAGGGUGGUGGAAUUUCCUGUGUAGCGGUGAAAUGCGUAGAUAUAGGAAGGAACACCAGUGGCGAAGGCGACCACCUGGACUGAUACUGACACUGAGGUGCGAAAGCGUGGGGAGCAAACAGGAUUAGAUACCCGUGUAGUCCCUGUCUCUUAUAA